Molecule: ribosomal RNA, 713 nt
Filed under: Acinetobacter sp. 230(2010)
Lineage: Bacteria; Pseudomonadati; Pseudomonadota; Gammaproteobacteria; Moraxellales; Moraxellaceae
Description: bacterial SSU rRNA
Rfam family: Bacterial small subunit ribosomal RNA
Source: RNAcentral
UUGAACGCUGGCGGCAGGCUUAACACAUGCAAGUCGAGCGGGGAAGGGUAGCUUGCUACCUAACCUAGCGGCGGACGGGUGAGUAAUGCUUAGGAAUCUGCCAUUUAGUGGGGGACAACAUUCCGAAAGGAAUGCUAAUACCGCAUACGUCCUACGGGAGAAAGCAGGGGAUCUUCGGACCUUGCGCUAAAUGAUGAGCCUAAGUCGGAUUAGCUAGUUGGUGGGGUAAAGGCCUACCAAGGCGACGAUCUGUAGCGGGUCUGAGAGGAUGAUCCGCCACACUGGGACUGAGACACGGCCCAGACUCCUACGGGAGGCAGCAGUGGGGAAUAUUGGACAAUGGGCGGAAGCCUGAUCCAGCCAUGCCGCGUGUGUGAAGAAGGCCUUAUGGUUGUAAAGCACUUUAAGCGAGGAGGAGGCUACCUAGAUUAAUACUCUAGGAUAGUGGACGUUACUCGCAGAAUAAGCACCGGCUAACUCUGUGCCAGCAGCCGCGGUAAUACAGAGGGUGCGAGCGUUAAUCGGAUUUACUGGGCGUAAAGCGUGCGUAGGCGGCUUUUUAAGUCGGAUGUGAAAUCCCCGAGCUUAACUUGGGAAUUGCAUUCGAUACUGGGAAGCUAGAGUAUGGGAGAGGAUGGUAGAAUUCCAGGUGUAGCGGUGAAAUGCGUAGAGAUCUGGAGGAAUACCGAUGGCGAAGGCAGCCAUCUGGCCUA